GCAAUCUUAAUAAAUACUAAUUAUAAUACCAAUUACGAUUGAGCUGAGUUUUGUGUUUAAAAUCAACUCAAAUAUCAUUCAUUUCAAUUUUCAACAUAAUCAAUAUCUCCAUUGUAAACUGGGAUAGAAGAAAAUUUUGUUUAUUUGAUUUAAAAGAAAACAUCAGCAUGGGUAGAGGAGGUAAAAAGAAAGGAAAAAAAGAGUCUGAGGAUAUUGGAGGAGGCUUAGGAUUGCUGUCCCUGGAGGAUCAACCUUCCACAUCAUCAGCUAUUGCUACUCAAGAAAUUACGAAAGCAGACCCACCACCUGAGAAAGAGGCAGAACCUGAAGGCGAUGGUCUUUCACUGCUGGGUGUUGGAGGUCCUAGGAAACCUAGGAAGAAGAAAAAUAAUGCACCGUCGCAAGAAGCACCAAAACCUUUAAACCCAUCUCAAGCAGCUGCAGGGCCUGGUCAACCAAGUCCUGCAUCUCAGGCUGAUGAACCUUCAGCUGGAUGUGGCCGUGGACGUGGCCGUGGAGGUGCACCGCCACAGGCCGGUAGGGGUAGAGGUGCCCCAGUCCCAGUCUGGGGCCAGAGUGAUCCCCAAGUUGGAGCCACACGCCAGGCCGCGGCAAGGCCCCCAGGACCCUGGCAAGCACCUCAACCCAUGGCCCCAGUGCCACAGAGCCAAAGUGCUCCUCAGAUUUCCCAAGCACCAAGAGCAGUGAGACCAUCGACGUCCCAAGUACCAAUUGAACAACAACGUCCACCAAGUUCAAAACCAACAUCGGUGGUGUGCCGGUUCCAAUUACCGAAAAAAAUACGGGCUAGGGUUCCCGUACCUGCUGAUGCUACGAGAGUUCUGACUAAUUAUCUCCCCAUGAGUAUAAAGCCACUAAUAAUUCAUCGCUACGACGUCGCAAUAAAGCCUGACAGGCCGAAAAAAUUUAUGUCGAGAAUAUUCCAAGCAAUGAAAAUGAAGUAUUAUCCAAAACAUAUAGUUGCAUAUGACCAAAUGAAGAAUUGCUACGCACUUAAACCUCUCUUAAAGGUUACAGAUGAACGCUUUGAAACUGAGGUUGAAAUCAAGGAUGACAACGGGAAAACUUGUAAAUAUGAAAUUGGAUUGAAAUUGACUGGAACGGUAGAUUUGGGCACGAUUUUGAGUUAUAUGCGUGAUGGGACAUCGUUAGCCCCUCCAACUGAAGCAAUUCAUUGUAUUGAUGUUGUUUUGCGUCAAGGAGCCCUCGAAAAGUAUGUGAAGGCCAGCCGUCAAUACUUCAUGCGCCCCAAGAACCCUAUCGACCUUGGAGAUGGUCUUGAAAUGUGGACUGGUUUGUUCCAGUCGGCCAUUUUUACUUCCAGGCCGUUUAUCAAUAUAGAUGUUGCCCAUAAAGGAUUUCCGAAGUCACAGCCAUUAGUGGACACAUACAUAAAUGACUUCCGUUUGAAUGCAAACAGUCCUAUUGAAAAACAGCGUAAGAUGGAAUGCGAACUGUUUCUGAAAUUUAUCCGUGGUUUAAGGGUGGUGGCAACAAUUGGUGACGCUAAGACCGGAUUCAGAAAGCGUGAAUUUAUUUGUAAUGACCUCAAACCGCCUCCGAACGCCCUGAAAUUCACAAUGCAAGACGAUAAGGGGGUGAGGCGGAAUAUAACCGUUGAGCAAUACUUCUCUGAAAAGGGAUAUAGGCUCCGCUAUCCAAACAUUAAUUGUGUUUGGGUUGGACCCAGAGAUAAAGAGAUAUACUACCCAAUGGAGUUAUUACACGUUUCAUAUGGACAGGCCCUUAAUAGACAGUUGAAUGACAGACAACUGGCGAAAAUGGUUCGUGAAGCGGCAACACCACCUAGUGACAGAAAGCGAAAGAUCGAAGAAGUUAUUAGAGACAUGAAAUAUUCGAGUAACGAAUAUUUCAAGGAGUUUGGAUUGGAGAUCACAAACGACUUCUACCAAGUUGACGCAAAAGUUUUGCACGCGCCAGUUUUGAAUGUUGGCGAGGGGACCAUAAGACCAAGGGAGGGAGUUUGGAUGCAAAAGAAACUGCUGAAGCCCAGCGCUCUUCGGUCUUGGGGCUUCUUGGUAGUUGAAAUUGACCCUAAUAGACUGCAAUGCCAUGACAUCAUUAAAAAGAUUCAAGGUGUGGGUCGCCAAAUGGGUAUGUUGGUACAAGAUCCAGCCUUGACCAACUUCAAUGUGAAGGCCCAUGAGUUGCUCACGGUCUUCCGUCGAGCAUCAGACGCCAACGUCAACUUCCUCUUUGUUAUCGUCAGUUCAUGGAUAAGGGAUCUCUACCAAAAGGUGAAAAAAAUGGCGGAGUUGGAAGUGGGUAUUUUGACACAGUGCAUUAAAGAUCAGACAGCAGAGAGGCGUAUGAACGAACAGACCAUACGAAAUAUAUUGCUCAAGGUUAACUCAAAAUUGAUGGGUGUUAAUCAAACAAUUGGCACUGCGUCCGAGCCUGCCUGUCUUAGAAGCGGUGGGGUUAUGGUGGUAGGAGCUGAUGUGACCCAUCCAUCGCCGGAACAGACGGACAUACCAAGUAUUGCAGCGGUGACCGCAUCUUUUGACACCAAAUGCUUCCAAUACAACAUCGAAUUGAGUAUUCAAACUCCAAAGAAAGAAAUGAUCGUCGAAUUCGAAAAUAUGAUGGUGGAACACUUAAAAGUCUACAAAAAGCAUCAAAACACUCUCCCGAAGAAAAUAUUUAUCUUCCGUGAUGGGGUUUCUGAAGGACAAUUCUCUCAGGUGAUGGAUAGUGAGUUGGUGGCCGUUUACAGGGCGUAUGAACGUCUUGCGGGGUGUAAUGUGAAGCCUGAGGUUUUGUUCCUAUUAGUCCAAAAGCGUCAUCACACUAGAUUCUUUUUGGGCGCGAACAACGCACAGAACGUACGUCCUGGAACUGUCGUUGAUAAGGACAUUGUGCACAACAGCGAAAUGGACUUUUACAUGGUAUCCCAUUAUGCAAUAAAAGGCACGGCCCGUCCUACUCGUUAUUAUGGGGUGCGCAACGAUGGCAACAUUCCCAUAGAGGAAGUAGAGCAGUUGACCUAUUAUCUGUGUCAUUUAUACUCGCGCUGUACUCGCUCUGUGUCAUAUCCCACGCCCACGUACUACGCCCAUCUUGCUUGUACUCGUGCCAAACAUCUCACAGCCGGCGACAGAUUCAACAACAGAGACUUGGAGAUGAGACCACAACGGCUUCAAGUUUUGGACAGGAUGCUCGAUUUCAGCCGCAUGUUCUUUGUUUAAUCUAUUUAAAAAAAAAUGUGUCGUAAAAAACAAAAAACCAAAAAAAAAUGUAUUUUAAUGUUCUGAUACAAAAAAUGUAAAAAACAAAAACCAAAAAAAAUGUAUGUUACUGAUCUGAUACAAAAAAUCUUUUAUAAUCUGUUCGGAAAAUAAUAUAACUUAGAUGUCAAAACACGAUGUUGGUCUACAUAAUAUUUGUAAUGAACUUAUAAUUCUUUAAAUAAACAUAUUAUAACUGGUA
Molecule: RNA transcript, 3471 nt
Organism: Pieris rapae (cabbage white)
Lineage: Eukaryota; Metazoa; Arthropoda; Insecta; Lepidoptera; Pieridae
Gene: Ago2
Gene name: protein argonaute-2
Exons: 24
Source: RefSeq, a predicted model, not a curated record